GGUGCUAUAGUGUAGUGGUUAUCACUCAGGAUUUUGAGAUCAUAUUCCUGGAACCCAGGUUCGAACCCUGGUAGCACCU
Molecule: non-coding RNA, 79 nt
Organism: Flammula alnicola
Lineage: Eukaryota; Fungi; Basidiomycota; Agaricomycetes; Agaricales; Strophariaceae
Source: the annotation of a GenBank genome assembly